This 234-nucleotide ribosomal RNA is filed under the name uncultured bacterium. RNAcentral describes it as "partial 16S ribosomal RNA". It matches the Rfam family "Bacterial small subunit ribosomal RNA", at positions 15 to 240 of the family's 1533-position model. The record is from RNAcentral.
GAUAUGGCUCAGGACGAACGCUGGCGGCGUGCCUAAUACAUGCAAGUAGAACGCUGAAGAGAGGAGCUUGCUCUUCUUGGAUGAGUUGCGAACGGGUGAGUAACGCGUAGGUAACCUGCCUUGUAGCGGGGGAUAACUAUUGGAAACGAUAGCUAAUACCGCAUAACAAUGGAUGACCCAUGUCAUUUAUUUGAAAGGGGCAAAUGCUCCACUACAAGAUGGACCUGCGUUGUA